Molecule: ribosomal RNA, 485 nt
Filed under: beta proteobacterium B3_31
Lineage: Bacteria; Pseudomonadati; Pseudomonadota; Betaproteobacteria
Description: bacterial SSU rRNA
Rfam family: Bacterial small subunit ribosomal RNA
Source: RNAcentral
CUGGCUCAGAUUGAACGCUGGCGGCAUGCCUUACACAUGCAAGUCGAACGGUAACAGCACUUCGGUGGCUGACGAGUGGCGGACGGGUGAGUAAUACAUCGGAACGUGCCCGAUCGUGGGGGAUAACUACUCGAAAGAGUGGCUAAUACCGCAUACGAUCUACGGAUGAAAGCGGGGGAUCGCAAGACCUCGCGCGGACGGAGCGGCCGAUGGCAGAUUAGGUAGUUGGUGGGAUAAAAGCUUACCAAGCCGACGAUCUGUAGCUGGUCUGAGAGGACGACCAGCCACACUGGGACUGAGACACGGCCCAGACUCCUACGGGAGGCAGCAGUGGGGAAUUUUGGACAAUGGGGGAAACCCUGAUCCAGCCAUGCCGCGUGCAGGAUUGAAGGCCUUCGGGUUGUAAACUGCUUUUGUACGGAACGAAAAGACUCUUUCUAAUACAGAGGGUCCAUGACGGUACCGUAAGAAUAAGCACCGGCUAA